GUGGGGAAUAUUGGGCAAUGGGGGAAACCCUGACCCAGCAACGCCGCGUGAGGGAAGAAGGCUUUCGAGUUGUAAACCUCUGUCCUAUGGGAAGAAGAAGUGACAGUACCAUAGGAGGAAGCUCCGGCUAACUACGUGCCAGCAGCCGCGGUAAUACGUAGGGAGCAAGCGUUGUCCGGAAUUACUGGGCGUAAAGGGUGCGUAGGCGGCGCAGUGAGUCAGAAGUGAAAUAUCGGGGCUUAACCCCGGGGCUGCUUCUGAUACUGCUGUGCUUGAGUGCAGGAGAGGUAAGCGGAAUUCCUAGUGUAGCGGUGAAAUGCGUAGAUAUUAGGAGGAACACCAGUGGCGAAGGCGGCUUACUGGACUGUAACUGACGCUGAAGCACGAAAGCGUGGGUAGCAAACAGGAUUAGAAACCCCAGUAGUCC
RNAcentral lists this ribosomal RNA (427 nucleotides) under uncultured bacterium. RNAcentral describes it as "bacterial SSU rRNA". It matches the Rfam family "Bacterial small subunit ribosomal RNA", at positions 354 to 796 of the family's 1533-position model. The record is from RNAcentral.